Molecule: ribosomal RNA, 461 nt
Filed under: bacterium
Lineage: Bacteria
Description: bacterial SSU rRNA
Rfam family: Bacterial small subunit ribosomal RNA
Source: RNAcentral
CAGCCAUGCCGCGUGUAUGAAGAAGGCCUUCCGGGUUGUAAAGUACUUUCCAGCGGGGAGGAAGGGAGUAAAGUUAAUACCUUUUGCUCAUUUGACGUUACCCGCAGAAGAAGCACCGGCUAACUCCGUGCCAGCAGCCGCGGUAAUACGGAGGGUGCAAGCGUUAAUCGGAAUUUACUGGGGCGUAAAAGCGCACGCAGGCGGUUUUGUUUAAGUCAGAGAUGGUAAAAUCCCCGGGCUCAACCUGGGAACUGCAUCUGAUACUGGCAAGCUUGAGUCUCGUAGAGGGGGGUAGAAUUCCAGGUGUAGCGGUGAAAUGCGUAGAGAUCUGGAGGAAUACCGGUGGCGAAGGCGGCCCCUGGGAACGAAGGACUGACGCUCAGGUGCGAAAGCGUGGGGAGCAAACAGGAUUAAAUACCCUGGUAGUCCACCGCCGUAAACGAUGUCGACUUGGGAGGUUG